Molecule: long non-coding RNA, 297 nt
Filed under: Olea europaea (common olive)
Lineage: Eukaryota; Viridiplantae; Streptophyta; Magnoliopsida; Lamiales; Oleaceae
Description: long non-coding RNA (OEUR_LNC012056)
Source: RNAcentral
UGAAAACCUCAAUCAAAUCAUGAAGAACUUGCAACCUUACUCUGAUACCACUUGUUGGGACCGAUGAAGACAACGCAAGAAUUGAGAUUUGAUGAACCCAAUAUGAAGUAUAAAUAAAAAUCACAAAAUAACCAAGAACAAGAUUAAAGUAAAAGAUGCAAAAUAAAAGGGAACUGACAGAGGAACGAUGUUAUUUUAUUCAAUCACUAUGAAAGGAGAGAAUUACAGCAAUUGGCUUAAACUAAACUGAAAGAGGAGCCACGUAUUUAUAGUACACGAGUCAAACGCUAAAACUAG